Molecule: ribosomal RNA, 232 nt
Filed under: uncultured bacterium
Lineage: Bacteria
Description: partial 16S ribosomal RNA
Rfam family: Bacterial small subunit ribosomal RNA
Source: RNAcentral
GAUCAUGGCUCAGGAUGAACGCUAGCGACAGGCUUAACACAUGCAAGUCGGAGGGGCAGCAUGAUUUGUAGCAAUACAGAUUGAUGGCGACCGGCGCACGGGUGAGUAACGCGUAUGCAACUUACCUAUCAGAGGGGGAUAGCCCGGCGAAAGUCGGAUUAAUACCCCAUAAAACAGGGUCCCGCAUGGGAAUAUUUGUUUAAAGAAUUCAUCGCUGAUAGAUAGGCAUGCG